Non-coding RNA from Pelobates cultripes (western spadefoot toad), 252 nucleotides. The record is from the annotation of a GenBank genome assembly. Lineage: Eukaryota; Metazoa; Chordata; Amphibia; Anura; Pelobatidae.
GGAGGGUGUGACUAGUGACAGAGUGAGGGAGGGAAGGGGUGACUAGUGAGAGUGAGGGAGGUGGUGAUUAGUGACAGAGGGAGGAAUGGGGUGACUAUCACUGUGUCACCCCCUUCCUCACUCUGUCACUAGUCACCCACUCCCUCCCUCACUCGGUCACUAGUCACCCCCUCUGUCACCAGUCAUUCCCUCACUCUGUCACCAGUCAUCCCUUCCUUCCCUCACUCUGCCACUAGUCAUCCCUUCCCUCAC